Molecule: long non-coding RNA, 751 nt
Organism: Ochotona curzoniae (black-lipped pika)
Lineage: Eukaryota; Metazoa; Chordata; Mammalia; Lagomorpha; Ochotonidae
Exons: 5
Source: RefSeq, a predicted model, not a curated record
AUGUUGGACUCUGUCAUCGUCUGUGCCCGUAAUGAUGGACAUAUGACUGUGUAUGAAGAACUAUGCAUUGCUUCACAGCCUCCUUACCACAGCUGCAGAAAGGCACAGGGAGGGUGGCGGCAUGAUCAAAUGUGCCCACUUCCAGGGACAGUGAAAACAAAUGAUGCAAAAUGGUCUAUCCUGGACAGACUUCAGGCAGCUCUGAGCAGGAUGAUAGCUUAAGCCUUUAGGCUUACAGAGAUUUUGUGAUCUUUGCCCCCACUCAUAUUGCAUCAGUGUCCAGUGCUGGAUGGCAGACCAGACCUUUGCGUUCAGCAGCAGCCAAGUCUUGCCCUGCAGGUAGUGACCUUCAGUACAGCUGAGUUGGAGGCUGUUGUUCAAAUGGAUGAGGGCUGACCUGGAUUGUCUUUUUAACUCAGCAUCUUACAUCUCAGCCUAUGAAACUGUGACAAGAGCAGCGCAAGCCAGAGAGUCAUUAUAACGAGUCUCAAUGUAUGCAAGCUUCAGAAGAGGGGCCAGUGUCAUGACGUAGCAGAGAAAGUGUCCACUUGCUGAACUGACUUCCCAUAUAGGCACUGGUUCAAGUCCCAGAAUCCACUCUCUAAACUUUGUUCACACGGAGGCGUUGAUGACUAGUGACUGUCUAGCACAGCUAUACUCAUUAAAGUGUGAGGUUUGCCUGCCGUGGUGAUUGGAUUCACAUGGAGCAAGUGACUUCUCAACGUUCAACAAAGCUCUGCCUGUGAAUUGC